CCGACGGUGAGGGAUGAAAGCUGGGGGAGCAAACCGGAUUAGAUACCCGGGUAGUCCCAGCUGUAAACGAUGCGCGUUAGGUGUGUCAGUGACCACGUGUCACUGAUGUGCCGAAGGGAAACCGUGAAACGCGCCGCCUGGGGAGUACGGUCGCAAGGCUGAAACUUAAAGGAAUUGGCGGUGGAGCACCACAACGGGUGGAGCCUGCGGUUUAAUCGGACUCAACGCCGGAAAUCUCACCGGAUAA
RNAcentral lists this ribosomal RNA (247 nucleotides) under uncultured archaeon. RNAcentral describes it as "partial 16S ribosomal RNA". It matches the Rfam family "Archaeal small subunit ribosomal RNA", at positions 691 to 937 of the family's 1478-position model. The record is from RNAcentral.